UCCCUGGUGGCUCAGAGGUAAAAGUAUCUGCCUGCAAUGCAGGAGACCUGGGUUCGAUCCCCGGGUUGGGAA
Bubalus bubalis (water buffalo) is the source of this 72-nucleotide non-coding RNA. NCBI's taxonomy places the organism in Eukaryota, Metazoa, Chordata, Mammalia, Artiodactyla, Bovidae. The record is from the annotation of a RefSeq genome assembly.